RNAcentral lists this long non-coding RNA (1012 nucleotides) under Malus domestica (apple). Its description in RNAcentral is "long non-coding RNA (MDOM_LNC018960)". Lineage: Eukaryota; Viridiplantae; Streptophyta; Magnoliopsida; Rosales; Rosaceae. The record is from RNAcentral.
AAAAUGAAAAGAAAAACAAAGUUUUGUGGAUUCACAAUCGCUUCAAUUACAUUCUCCUAAUGACUUCUAAAUAAAAAUAGAGAAAUGCAAGUUGUAAUUGAAAGAACGAAUAAUGCAUAUUCAUAACCUUAAAGAUUUUUUCCACCGUCCAUCAAUUUUAUAAAACGCACUGGAAUUACAGCAUAUAUCCCUAGGGCAAAAUCCAGAAAACUUAGGGCUCCACUAUGUCUCAAAAAUAAGACAUAGGAAAUCAGGUAGUAGGAACAACAUACUAGGGUAAAAACACAAAUUAUGCAUUCGGGAUCUAUAAUAUUUUGUAAAUAAAGACCCAGAGCCUAUAAAAAUAUCUCUAUUGCUUCCCUGAUGCAUCUUAUUCCUAAGAACUUGACAAUCUUUGGGGGUGAUUUUUUACUUAAAUCGACAAAUGAUCUCCACCAUAAUUAUAUCACAAAUCACAUAUUGAACUGUGGUACAAAGGUAAUCUAUAGGGGACGUGAUGGCCGCAAAAGCUAGAAUUAAUAAAAUAGAUGGUGCUAUAAAGAAGCAUUGAAAGACAUGGAAGCAUACUGUUGCGGUGGUGAAUUUGAUUUCCGGUUCAGCAACAGCUCCCACUUCUUGACCACUGCCACCAAUAUCUUGUUCAGCAAUUGGUCCCCUUCUUGACCACUGUUGUCGACAUAUCAUAAAGGAUCCUGAAAGAGUCCGCAUACCAUUAAUCCUGUUAUUUUUGUGCUCUGCAUUUUUUUUUUCACCGACUUUAAAUUUCUUAUCACACUAGCAAAUCUUAUACAUAAAUCUUAAAAUAAAUUACAAAUAUUGAGUCUAGGAUCAACAGAAGCAAUUACGACAUUUCAGAUAUGGGAUAAAAUACAUUUUCAUAGUUGGAAAAUGAUGCUAAAGCCUCUUGUGUUUCAGAAGGAAGUAUAUCCUUGCAGUGAUGAGAGUUAGGAGGAAUUGAGAAGGGAGAGAGAGUGAGGCGUGAAGAUUGCAGAAUGAAUUGGGAAAAGAUGAG